Molecule: long non-coding RNA, 597 nt
Organism: Lemur catta (Ring-tailed lemur)
Lineage: Eukaryota; Metazoa; Chordata; Mammalia; Primates; Lemuridae
Exons: 4
Source: RefSeq, a predicted model, not a curated record
AAUGCGGACUGCAGGAAGACAGGACUUCUGUCUGGCUCUGUUCACCACUGUAUCCCCAGCACCCCGAAGACUCUCAAUCAACAGUCUGUCAAUGAAUGGGUGAAAGGCUGCCCCUUGGGAAGUCUCGGCCGGAGAGCGCCUGUUCUGCCUUCUGACUCUCCAGCAUCCUCCCCGGCGGCUGAGGAGAGGCCAAACGAGGAGGAAACAGAUUCAGACAGCAGAUGUAACUUGGACACAAUCACAGCAGCAGGCCUGUAGGUGCCUCUUGGCUGACAUGGCAAAGGAGACAUUCAAGACCCUAACUUGGAUCCAGGAAAUGAAGAGAUGCACAGGUGUGUAGACUUUAGGGAGGCCAGGCCCAAAGCAGGGACCCCAGGUCAUCACGCCCUCCAGCACCCAGAUGCCAGCUUGGGAGCAGAGCCAUCGGACACCUGUGCAAGAGAGAGAAGGAGCAGUCACAGCCCAGCCUGGACCCACUGAAACCCCCUCCCCAGGGGAGCAAAGACACUUGACCGGGGGAAGGGGGCCGUGGCAAGCAGUGUUCACACAUCUGACAGGAGAGGCUGGGGAGGCCGGAUGGGUCGGGGGCCUGAGUGC